This 468-nucleotide ribosomal RNA is filed under the name uncultured bacterium. RNAcentral's name for it is "partial 16S ribosomal RNA". It matches the Rfam family "Bacterial small subunit ribosomal RNA", at positions 28 to 507 of the family's 1533-position model. The record is from RNAcentral.
GACGAACGCUGGCGGCGUGCUUAACACAUGCAAGUCGAACGGAAAGGCCCUGCUUUUGUGGGGUGCUCGAGUGGCGAACGGGUGAGUAACACGUGAGUAACCUGCCCUUGACUUUGGGAUAACUUCAGGAAACUGGGGCUAAUACCGGAUAGGAGCUCCUGCUGCAUGGUGGGGGUUGGAAAGUUUCGGCGGUUGGGGAAGGACUCGCGGCUUAUCAGCUUGUUGGUGGGGUAGUGGCUUACCAAGGCUUUGACGGGUAGCCGGCCUGAGAGGGUGACCGGCCACAUUGGGACUGAGAUACGGCCCAGACUCCUACGGGAGGCAGCAGUGGGGAAUAUUGCACAAUGGACGGAAGCCUGAUGCAGCAACGCCGCGUGCGGGAUGACGGCCUUCGGGUUGUAAACCGCUUUCGCCUGUGACGAAGCGUGAGUGACGGUAAUGGGUAAAGAAGCACCGGCUAACUACGUG